Molecule: ribosomal RNA, 485 nt
Filed under: uncultured bacterium
Lineage: Bacteria
Description: bacterial SSU rRNA
Rfam family: Bacterial small subunit ribosomal RNA
Source: RNAcentral
GAUGAACGCUAGCGGCAGGCUUAAUACAUGCAAGUCAAGGGGGUAGCAAUACAACCGGCGCACGGGUGAGUAACGCGUACACAACAUGCCAUAUACUGGGGUAUAGCUUCGGGAAACUGAAGGUAAUCCCCCAUAACAUUGCGAAUAGGCAUCUAAUUGCAAUUAAAGUUCCGACGGUAUAUGAUAGGUGUGCGUCUGAUUAGCUAGUUGGUAGGGUAACGGCCUACCAAGGCGAUGAUCAGUAGGGGGCGUGAGAGCGUGACCCCCCACACGGGUACUGAGGCACGGACCCGACUCCUACGGGAGGCAGCAGUAAGGAAUAUUGGUCAAUGGAGGGAACUCUGAACCAGCCAUCCCGCGUGCAGGAUGAAGGGGCUCUGCCCUGUAAACUGCUUUUGAAUGGGACGAAAAAGCCUCACUUGUGAGGAACUGACGGUACCAUUAGAAUAAGCACCGGCUAACUCCGUGCCAGCAGCCGCGGUAAU